Molecule: ribosomal RNA, 1431 nt
Filed under: metagenome
Description: bacterial SSU rRNA
Rfam family: Archaeal small subunit ribosomal RNA
Source: RNAcentral
GUUGAUCCUGCCGGAGGGCACCGCUAUUGGUGUUCGCUUAAGCCAUGCGAGUCCAGAGUGGUCAUGCACUCGGCGCACGGCUCAGUAACACGCGGAGAACCUGCCCUAAGGUGGGGGAUAACCUCGGGAAACUGAGGAUAAUACCCCAUAGUUCGCGAGCGCUGGAACGCCUCGUGGACGAAAGCUCCGGCGCCUUAGGAUGGCUCUGCGGCCUAUCAGGUUGUAGCGAGUGUAACGUACUCGCUAGCCGACAACGGGUACGGGCGUUGAGAGACGUCGCCCGGAGAUGAAUUCUGAGACACGAAUUCAGGCCCUACGGGGCGCAGCAGGCGCGAAAACUCUGCAAUGCCGGCAACGGCGACAGGGGAACACCAAGUGCUUGCACUAUGUGCAAGCUGUUUUCAUGCCUAAAAAGCAUGGAGAGUAAGGGCUGGGUAAGACGGGUGCCAGCCGCCGCGGUAAUACCCGCAGCCCGAGUGGUGCUCGUUAUUAUUGGGCCUAAAGCGUCCGUAACCGGCUUCGUAAAUGCCUGGGGAAAUCGUGCUGCUCAACAGCACGAAGGCCCGGGUAGACUGCGAGGCUUGAGACCGGGAGAGGCCAGAGGUACUCCAGGGGUAGAGGUGAAAUUCUGUAAUCCUUGGGGGACCACCGGUGGCGAAGGCGUCUGGCUAGAACGGAUCUGACGGCGAGGGACGAAGCCCUGGGGCGCAAACGGGAUUAGAUACCCCGGUAGUCCAGGGUGUAAACGCUGCGGACUUGGUGUCGGGUGUCCUACGGGGGCUCUCGGUGCCGGAGCGAAGGUGCUAAGUCCGCCGCCUGGGGAGUACGGCCGCAAGGUUGAAACUUAAAGGAAUUGGCGGGGGAGCACCGCAACGGGAGGAGCGUGCGGUUUAAUUGGAUCCAACGCCGGGAAGCUCACCGGGUUCGACUGCUUGAUGUGGGCCAGGCUGAUGACCUUGCCUGAAUUGCAGAGAGGUGGUGCAUGGCCGCCGUCAGUUCGUACCGUAAGGCGUUCUGUUAAGUCAGAUAACGAACGAGACCCCUUUCCGCAAUUGCGACCCGGAUCUCCGGAUCCGGAGCACAUUGCGGAGACCGCUUCCGCUAAGGAAGAGGAAGGAGGGGGCAACGGUAGGUCAGUAUGCCCCGAAUUACCCGGGCUACACGCGCGCUACAAAGACCAGGACAAUGGGCAUCGACGCCGAGAGGCGAAGGCAAUCCCGAAACCUGGCCGUAGUUCGGAUCGAGGGCUGCAACUCGCCCUCGUGAAGCUGGAUUCCGUAGUAAUCGUGUCUCAAAAUGGCACGGUGAAUAUGCCCCUGCUCCUUGCACACACCGCCCGUCAAACCAUCUGAGUAGGGUCCGGAUGAGGGUAUCUCUUCCUGGGGUAUUCGAAUCCGGGCUCUGCAAGGAGGGUUAAGUCGUAACAAGGUA